RNAcentral lists this ribosomal RNA (800 nucleotides) under uncultured bacterium. Its description in RNAcentral is "bacterial SSU rRNA". It matches the Rfam family "Bacterial small subunit ribosomal RNA", at positions 588 to 1389 of the family's 1533-position model. The record is from RNAcentral.
CAGGAUGUGAANUCCCCGGGCUCAACCUGGGAACUGCGUUNUGAACUGGGUGACUAGAGUGUNUCAGAGGGAGGUAGAAUUCCACGUGUAGCAGUGAAAUGCGUAGAGAUGUGGAGGAAUACCGAUGGCGAAGGCAGCCUCCUGGGAUAACACUGACGUUCAUGCCCGAAAGCGUGGGUAGCAAACAGGAUUAGAUACCCUGGUAGUCCACGCCCUAAACGAUGUCGAUUAGCUGUUGGGCAGCAUGACUGCUUAGUAGCGAAGCUAACGCGUGAAAUCGACCGCCUGGGGAGUACGGUCGCAAGAUUAAAACUCAAAGGAAUUGACGGGGACCCGCACAAGCGGUGGAUGAUGUGGAUUAAUUCGAUGCAACGCGAAGAACCUUACCUGGUCUUGACAUGUACGGAACCCUCCAGAGACGGAGGGGUGCCUUCGGGAGCCGUAACACAGGUGCUGUAUGGCUGUCGUCAGCUCGUGUCGUGAGAUGUUGGGUUAAGUCCCGCAACGAGCGCAACCCUUGUCAUUAGUUGCCAUCAUUAAGUUGGGCACUCUAAUGAGACUGCCGGUGACAAGCCGGAGGAAGGUGGGGAUGACGUCAAGUCCUCAUGGCCCUUAUGACCAGGGCUUCACACGUCAUACAAUGGUCGGUACAGAGGGUAGCCAAGCCGCGAGGUGGAGCCAAUCUCACAAAACCGAUCGUAGUCCGGAUUGCACUCUGCAACUCGAGUGCAUGAAGUCGGAAUCGCUAGUAAUCGCAGGUCAGCAUACUGCGGUGAAUACGUUCCCGGGUCUUGUACACA